This 79-nucleotide transfer RNA is filed under the name Morchella angusticeps. RNAcentral's name for it is "tRNA-Lys". It matches the Rfam family "tRNA". Rfam says of the family: Transfer RNA (tRNA) molecules are approximately 80 nucleotides in length. Their secondary structure includes four short double-helical elements and three loops (D, anti-codon, and T loops). Further hydrogen bonds mediate the characteristic L-shaped molecular structure. tRNAs have two regions of fundamental functional importance: the anti-codon, which is responsible for specific mRNA codon recognition, and the 3' end, to which the tRNAs corresponding amino acid is attached (by aminoacyl-tRNA synthetases). tRNAs cope with the degeneracy of the genetic code in two manners: having more than one tRNA (with a specific anti-codon) for a particular amino acid; and 'wobble' base-pairing, i.e. permitting non-standard base-pairing at the 3rd anti-codon position. The record is from RNAcentral. Lineage: Eukaryota; Fungi; Ascomycota; Pezizomycetes; Pezizales; Morchellaceae. RNAcentral also lists the same sequence under 14 other names.
GCCUCGCUAGCUCAAUCGGUAGAGCGUGAGACUCUUAAGUGGAAUCUCAAGGUUGCGGGUUCGACCCCCGCGUGGGGCU